Molecule: ribosomal RNA, 253 nt
Filed under: uncultured bacterium
Lineage: Bacteria
Description: partial 16S ribosomal RNA
Rfam family: Bacterial small subunit ribosomal RNA
Source: RNAcentral
GACGUAGGGUGCAAGCGUUGUCCGGAUUUACUGGGCGUAAAGAGCGCGUAGGCGGCUCGUUAAGUGUGAAGCUAAAUCUCUUGGCUCAACCAAGAAAUCAUUUCGCAUACUGGCGGGCUGGAGUGAUGCAGAGGUGGAUAGAAUUCCCGGUGUAGCGGUGAAAUGCGUUGAUAUCGGGAGGAAUACCCGUGGCGAAGGCGGUCCACUGGGCAUCAACUGACGCUGAGGCGCGAAAGCGUGGGGAGCAAACAGG